UGGGGAAUUCUGGACAAUGGGGGCAACCCUGAUCCAGCCAUGCCGCGUGCGGGAAGAAGGCCUUCGGGUUGUAAACCGCUUUUGUCAGGGAAGAAAUCUUCUGGGCUAAUACCCCGGGAGGAUGACGGUACCUGAAGAAUAAGCACCGGCUAACUACGUGCCAGCAGCCGCGGUAAUACGUAGGGCGCAAGCGUUAAUCGGAAUUACUGGGCGUAAAGCGUGCGCAGGCGGUUGUGCAAGACAGGUGUGAAAUCCCCGGGCUUAACCUGGGAACUGCACUUGUGACUGCACAGCUGGAGUACGGCAGAGGGGGAUGGAAUUCCGCGUGUAGCAGUGAAAUGCGUAGAUAUGCGGAGGAACACCGAUGGCGAAGGCAGUCCCCUGGGCCUGUACUGACGCUCAUGCACGAAAGCGUGGGGAGCAAACAGGAUUAGAUGCCCUGGUAGUCCACGCCCUAAACGAUGUCAACUGGUUGUUGGGAAGGCUCCUUCUCAGUAACGUAGCUAACGCGUGAAGUUGACCGCCUGGGGAGUACGGCCGCAAGGUUG
This 548-nucleotide ribosomal RNA is filed under the name uncultured bacterium. RNAcentral's name for it is "bacterial SSU rRNA". It matches the Rfam family "Bacterial small subunit ribosomal RNA", at positions 355 to 896 of the family's 1533-position model. The record is from RNAcentral.